UCCACACGAUACUGUAAGUCGCUCUGGAUAAGAGCGUCUGUUAAAUUACAAAAU
Non-coding RNA from Salmo salar (Atlantic salmon), 54 nucleotides. Lineage: Eukaryota; Metazoa; Chordata; Actinopteri; Salmoniformes; Salmonidae. The record is from Rfam.